This 196-nucleotide precursor RNA is filed under the name Arabis alpina (gray rockcress). Its description in RNAcentral is "precursor microRNA 156a". The stretch from base 42 to 145 matches the Rfam family "mir-156 microRNA precursor family". From Rfam's summary of the family: This family represents the plant microRNA (miRNA) precursor mir-156. Animal miRNAs are transcribed as ~70nt precursors and subsequently processed by the Dicer enzyme to give a ~22nt product. Lineage: Eukaryota; Viridiplantae; Streptophyta; Magnoliopsida; Brassicales; Brassicaceae. The record is from RNAcentral.
GUUGUAUGUGAAGGAGUUGGGACAAAAGAAACGCAAAGAAACUGACAGAAGAGAGUGAGCACACAAAAGCAAUUUGCAUAUGUUUAUGUCCAAGCCGAUCUCACUGCAUUUGCUUCUCUUGCGUGCUCACUGCUCUUUCUGUCAGAUUCCGGUGCUGAUCUCUUUGGCCUGUCCUCGUUCUCUUUGUCUCAAUCUU